Long non-coding RNA from Cicer arietinum (chickpea), 628 nucleotides. RefSeq lists it as uncharacterized. The record is from RefSeq and is a predicted model, not a curated record. NCBI's taxonomy places the organism in Eukaryota, Viridiplantae, Streptophyta, Magnoliopsida, Fabales, Fabaceae.
GAAUGUCUUUAACCUUGUACUAAUCCUAGCUUUUUUUUUUCGUUUAUUUUCUUUUCCUACAUUAUUUGAAACCUCGUGUAGGCUAAAAGUGUUGGUUCAUUUGUAUGCCUAUUUUCUAGCUUAGGUACUAAAAGUUUAGUUUUUCUUGUAUUAAACAUUGUUAAUUUCUCUUUAGAGAUAUCAUAACCAGCAAGCUUAUCACGUGCCGCUAAGUCCCUUUCAUCUUCACUGUCGUCAAAUCUAAUUUCAUAAGUUUCAUCCUCGUUACUAUCAUUGCCCUCAUUACAAUCACUUUUCUCAUCAUUAUCAACUUCAUCACAUCCGGCAUCUCUCCAAUAACCUCAACAUCUUGACAACCAACACAACUACACCCCCUAACUGAAACAUCUCUCCCAAAUCGCAUGAACCCUAAUCAGUUUCCAUAGUUUCUCAUUUCUUAAUUUCUCUUUCAAAUCGCAGGAAUCCUAACCUAUAUAUGGCGAAUCGUAAGCGCAAUUUCAGUGUGACCUUGGAGCUCGAAUGCUUCAAUCUUUUUCAAAGCUUGAAGCACCUGUGACUUAGAGGUAAACAUGAAGGGAGUUAUGGAAGAAAUAGUUGGAGCUUCCUCUCAAUGUUCAAUGGCCUGCUG